RNAcentral lists this unclassified non-coding RNA (363 nucleotides) under Rickettsia endosymbiont of Dermacentor variabilis. Lineage: Bacteria; Pseudomonadati; Pseudomonadota; Alphaproteobacteria; Rickettsiales; Rickettsiaceae. The record is from RNAcentral.
AUAGCUCGAUUGAUUUACUUUGCUGUGAGAUUACACAUGUAUAUAGUGUUAAUUCUAUAAAUAUGUAAGUAUCAACUCACAAAGUUAUCAGGUUAAAAUAGCUUUAUCAAUUAAUAAAGUGUUGUUAUAUGACUUUAUAUGUCAUUCCUGCGUAGGUGGGAAUUUGGUAAAACUGUUAUCCUGCGAUUCGGUCAAGGGAUCUCAGGACAUAACUAUGAAAUAAAAUCUGUAGAUUAAAAUACAUUAUAAUGUUCAAAGUCUUUUAGAGUCAUACAACAACACUAACAGCAAAACAAUACAAAUCUACCAUUUAAAAAGUUUGUAUUGCUAGCUUGGUGGUUAUAGCAUGAGUGAAACACACGA